UCUUGAUUGGACAGACGUCAAUUAGACCAGCACUCAGGGGCAGGCGGGGUGCUGAAGGCACUCGGGCACCCGGGCCAGCUGAGCCACGGGGCACAGGGGCAGGACGCUCAGAACUGUCACGAUGAUGAUAUUAAUAAGUGCAAACUGUUGUGUGUUAACUGAGGUUGGGCGACUUGGAGAGAAGGAAGAAGAGGACAAGGAGCACUGAUGAAGGGGACCUGUUGACCUCAAGGGUGGCCCAGGAGGCCCCUGGACACGUUCACAGUUGGGAAAGGCCUGAGGAGCUGGGGCAGGGUGCUCAUUGGCUACCUCUGGGAAGGGAGAGAGGGAGAGGAAAGAGCAGGUGCAAAGGCCCUGAGGCCGUGGAGUGCCCAGUGUGUUCUGGGAGCAGGAGGCUAGCGUGCUUGAAGGGAGCCAGCACACAGGCAGGGGACAUGGGAAUAGCAGCCACCCCAGACCUGGGGACAACCAGGACCUUGUCUUUCUGGGCUACCUGGGAGCCUCAGGAAGAUGCUGAGCAGAGGAGGGGUGGGACCUGACUUCCUUCAGGUAGUAAGAAGGUGGCUGGCGGAGGCAGCACCGGGAGAGCUGCGGUGGAGCCCGCGGCUGUGUGGUCCUGGAAGGGGUGGGGGGCGGGCUGGAGAAGCAGGACGUGAGGCUUUGGGCCGGGCCUGGAAGGACAGAGGCGCCAUUUUUGAGGCCAAGGGGACUGUGGGGGAGUGAGGGGCUCUGCCUCUCCCCAGUCCCCCACCCAGCACAUUCCCCUGUGGCUGGACAUUCCAGCCCGAGUUCUAGGCAGACGUGCAGCAGGACCGAGUGUCUGACGUUCUUGGUGGACGCGGUAUUCAGAGCCUCUAUUUCUCUAUGAGUAAAGGGGGCCCAUGUGGCCUCUGUCUGCAAGGUGCUAUGAAGCUGGAUUAAGCAUGAGAGGCCCCAGGCAGGGCCCAUAGCAGGUGAGGAAGGGGACAUUCAGAGUGAUUAAGUAACUGAUCCAAAGUCACACAGCUUGGACGCAUCCUGGCCAGGAUUCCUGAGCUGAAUCUGGAGUCCUGCUGUUGGCCUUCUACCCUGCUGCCUGCUCCCAGCACCUGGCCCUGCAGUCCUGAACUGACCAGCCGCCGUCAGGUGGGGAGUAGACCAUGAAACGGAAAUCGCUCCAGGCCCGACCAGACCUGCUCCACUGGGGCCCAAACCAGGCUCGGCCUGUGGUUGGGGAACAUGACGAUGCCGGAUACCCGAGUCACACCAGGUCUCCCCUCCACCAGCCACGUGACCUGGAGGGGUAAGGCAUACCCGUGCCUCGGUUUCCCCACUUGUAAGGGGAGAUGAUGGGGUUUUGGGAGGACUGAUGGUGUGGCCAGGCAGAGUGCCUACAACCAGGCCAGGAACUCAGUCGGUGUCUAAUAAAUGCAGGCUGCUGCUGCUGCUGUC
Long non-coding RNA from Urocitellus parryii (Arctic ground squirrel), 1431 nucleotides. RefSeq lists it as uncharacterized. Lineage: Eukaryota; Metazoa; Chordata; Mammalia; Rodentia; Sciuridae. The record is from RefSeq and is a predicted model, not a curated record.